RNAcentral lists this ribosomal RNA (293 nucleotides) under uncultured bacterium. RNAcentral's name for it is "partial 16S ribosomal RNA". It matches the Rfam family "Bacterial small subunit ribosomal RNA", at positions 29 to 346 of the family's 1533-position model. The record is from RNAcentral.
AGCGAACGCUGGCGGCAGGCUUAACACAUGCAAGUCGAGCGGGACACCUUCGGGUGUCAGCGGCAGACGGGUGAGUAACACGUGGGAACGUGCCCUUUGGUUCGGGACAACUCCGGGAAACUGGAGCUAAUACCGGAUAAGCCCUUCGGGGAAGGAUUUAUUGCCAAAGGAUCGGCCCGCGUCUGAUUAGCUAGUUGGUGAGGUAAGUGGCUCACCAAGGCGACGAUCAGUAGCUGGUCUGAGAGGAUGAUCAGCCACACUGGGACUGAGACACGGCCCAGACUCCUACGGGA